Uranotaenia lowii is the source of this 5219-nucleotide long non-coding RNA. RefSeq lists it as uncharacterized. The transcript has 3 exons. NCBI's taxonomy places the organism in Eukaryota, Metazoa, Arthropoda, Insecta, Diptera, Culicidae. The record is from RefSeq and is a predicted model, not a curated record.
UACUACGCUCACACAAAGAUAUCGCAACAGUGGCGACGAGUAUUUUUCGAAUCCGUGCUAAAUUGUGCGUAGUCCGUCGUUUUAAGAGUCGCGAAGUCGGUAACCUCUAAAUCGUCGCGUCAUGACAACUCCUACGGUACCAGGUUCGGUGGGCAACCAGCAGCCGCAGAGCAUGACCGAGGCCAUUAUGCAGAUUUUGUCCAACCAGCAAAGUCUCAUGACGAAAAUGUCGGAACAAUUGGUCUCAACUCAGCAGACGAUCCAAAGUCUGUCACGUGACGAAGUCGUCUUGGAUUCGCUUUCCAGUAAUAUGGCCGAGUUCACGUACGACAAAGAAGGCGGACAUACUUUCGAUGCUUGGUUUUCGCGAUACAUCGAUCUUUUUGAUCGCGAUGCUUCCAAGCUAGACGACGCAGCAAAAGUACGACUCCUUCUGAGGAAGUUGAGUCCCCCCGACCAUGAGCGGUAUAGCAGUUUUAUACUACCCAAGCUCGCUCGGGACUUUUCAUUCGCGGAGACGGUGGAAAAGCUGAAAUCUUUGUUUGGAGCGUCUAUCUCUUCGUUCCGGAGGCGCUACAAUUGCCUACAGACUUCAAAAGAGGAGAGUGAAGAUUAUUUGGCAUAUUCCUGCCGUGUGAAUAAAGCUUGUGUUGAUUUCAAGCUAACCGAAUUGCAAGAAGAACAAUUCAAGUGUCUUAUUUUUGUGUGUGGCUUGAAAUCAACCGUUGACACUGAGAUCCGUAUGAGGCUUAUAAAUAAACUGAACGAAAAUGUGAACUUAACGUUACAACAAGUUAGGCCCGUUCAACAGCCAAUUGAAAUUGGUUUCAAUCGAUUUCGAUUGGUAAAUUGUUGUUCACUCAGCCAAUGUUUUGGUCGGAACUAAUCCAAUUGACGUUCAAUGAAGCCAAUCGGAAUCGAUCGAAACCAAUCGAAAUCGAUCAAGCCCAAGAGCAGGAUUCAUUUCUAUCGGUUUCUAUCGCACUAACACAAAUGCAGUUGUUUACUGUCAAAAAACAGCUGAUUCGGUUUGGUUUUUAAUUUUCAAAAUUGAAACUGAUGUCAUUCGUUAGUUAGUGUGAUUCGUACAAAUGAAACUGGAGUCAAUCGGUGCAGCGUCGGUGUUGCUGUGCCAGUGAUGUUGUGUAAGAGGUGCUGUGCUGGUGGUGCAGGUGGUGUGGUGUCAUUUGAUUCGGUGUUCUCUGUCGGGUGCUGAGUCGGUGAUGCUGUGCCACUCGUGCUAUGUCGGUGGUGCUGUGCCACUCGUGCUAAGUUGGUGGUGCUGUGCCACUCGUGCUAAGUCGGUGGUGCUGCCAGUCGUGCUGUGUCGGUGGUGCUAGUGUUGGAAUGGUGUCUAGCAAUUGCUAGAGACAAAAACAGCUGUUUCGUUUCUGUGGACCGUGCAGGUGCUAGUGAAAGUGGUGUCGGUCUAUGUCUCGUCGGCAGUUAUGUGUCAGAGGUGCUGUGUCAGUGAUGUAGUUUUAGUAGCAUUAUUCAAUGCAGUUGCUGCACCGAACAGUGUAACAGCCUACACAGAAAAAAAUAAUGACUAUUACGUGUCAUUGAAACAGUUGUCUGUAAAAAAAUAUAACCUGUAAUUUAAAAAAUCACGUUAUUUCAAAUUGAGUUCCUAGAAAAUAAAUAAAACUCAUUCAAAAUUACAGCAAAUGUGCUGUAACAAGAAGGAGCAUGACAUUUGCCGUAAUUUUACAGGUUGAAAAACAAUUACGUGUCGUUGAAUUACGCGGAGUCUUAUAAUUUUCAAUUGCGCAUAAAAAAAUUAAAGUCCGUAUGGCAUCCCAGUUGCGCACCAAAGGAAAACGUCAAAAGUUCACGCGCUAAAAUCGUAAACACGCUCGUGCUGUUUAUGUUUUUGUUUAUGUGCGGUUCGAAAAAUUUGUUUAUCGUGGAUCAAAUCGCUCGUCAUAUCGAAUUUAAAACAAUCUCCGGCGAAAAUGAUCGGCGGCAACAUGAAGUUUGCGAUUCCUGGCAUUUCUUCACAGAGGAAAAUUCUGUGAACGAGGCACAUCGACCCGGCCGAGAAGAUUGAUAAAGAGAAUAUUUUUUGGUCAAAUUACGGCGUGUUCGUAAAUUGAUUUUUUCUAUCGAAGUGAUUAUUUUUAUCGAUGCUGGCGUUCGUAAAUUCCAAACAAACGUAUGCAAAAGCAUAUGGAAAGUGAUUUGACAUCUACCAAACAAAUCAAUCGACUGAUGCAUCACCCAAAAAAAUCAAUUUACGAACGCGCCGUUAGUGGUAAGUUUCUAGUUCUAAGUGUACAUCAACAUCUUACAUGUUAUAUUCGAUCGUUCUAGCUGCAAGGAAGGCGAGUGCAUCUGCCAAAGUGACCCCCGCCGAUUCUCAUUGAUUCCCCAACUAAAUGGAAAUCAACCCCCUGGCAACUUGAUAGUUCUGGCCUGGGGGAGGAAGACUGAAUAAAAAAAGAAAAAAAAAAUUCAAACGUCAAAUUUCUCUCAUCAAUUUACCGACAAGUGCGAAGGUUCAAAAUUUCACUUUCUUAUUUAGUAAUUUUUAAUAAAACUUUUUUCAUGCUAAAAAGCACUUGUUUUGCAUAAAACAAUGAUUUAAUUAGGUUUUGCUUUGCUCUGGUAAAUUCCUGCAUGAUCAGGCGUAUUAUGUCGCUCAAAUUUCGUCAAAGUUUUGAAGCUGAUAAAUAAAAAUGGCUUGAUUAAUGGUUGUUCUAAAAAUAUAGCUAAAUCUAAAUUUAGCACCUAAACAACUGAGUUACAUGACUCACUACACGAAACUGAUCAUCGUAAGUUAAAAUUUGAACGAUUACAAAUCUUUUCAACAAUUGCUGGCUUUUUGCCAAACAGUAAAAAAACGAUGCAGAAAACGAUGCAGCAAAUUUCAGUCUUCCUCCCCCAGGUUCUGGCGAGUUUCGUGUGCCUGAUUAAAAUUCGCAGAUGUCGCAUGUGUACCGCUUGUUUACAUACUUUUCGAACCAUGCGUAUGGAAAGGGCACAUCAUCAAAUGUGGUGCGAAUCAUAAAAUUCGAAUGGAUGAAAAAAAGUUUCAACCGAAACUAUUACUCUCAUUCAAUAUUCUACCUAUUUAUUUAUUGUAUAGGAACAGUUUUCCAUAAACCGAGGCAUUUUCUGCUAUAAUUUGAAUGAUUUGUUAUACUAAAAUUUUCAUAUGUCUCGCAGUUUAUGAAAAUCACUCAAUGAUGGUUGUGGUAAUGUUUUGUUUUACAAUUAUUGUGUACGAUCGUCAACAAUAGUUUCAGUGGAAUAGGGGUUCUUUUCCCAAAAAUCUGCCGUAUAUUAGUGAAUUAUUUUGAUCAGUCCAGAAGUUUUAAACCUUAUAAAGGACACACAGAUUUACGUCUGUGUGCCGUUUGCUUCGACUGAACUUCUGAAAACAAAUUCACUCUACGUAUAACUGAGCUAAUUUUCAAUUCUUAACAUUUUUUUCAUUUGUUGAAUCGAUUAAAAGAAACCAUAUUUCCAUAUGCGCCUUUCCGACAUGUUAAGUCGCUUGAUUUUCGAUUUGACAGAACCAGAGAACCAGAAAAAACUGGCACACGCGAUUUGUAUGGGAAACGUCAAGUUGCCAGGGGGUUGAUGGAAAUCCAUCGGUGCACAAGAGGCGGCUCGAAAAGAACAUAAAAAAACGGUCCUAAGUGAUUCAAACUUCUUCCAAUUUGUGGAUUUAACGAACACAUCGAAAUCGAUGCAAAUGUGCGAAACAAUUUGAUUCGUUCAUAAAGCGCAAAUUUCUGAUCGAAAUUCCGGAAACUGUUAAUUCAAAACACGAUUGCUCGAAAUUAGCUUCAUGUUCAAUAGACAAUGCCAUUGAAAAAUGCCGAAACGAAGAUUAUGACAACGGGAGCGCAGGGUCUCAGGAAGUACCUUUGGAGCUACCUCAGUUUAACGGAAUGUGGUAGAGGAAGAUGAGACAUUAUCCCUAAACUUCUUUUACGAUGCUUUUUCAAUUCAGAUUCGAUUACUGGGACCAGAAAAAUCUUAUCUAAAUUUAUCAGAUGACCCAUAAUAAUAAAUACAAUAAAAUUUGAUAACCGCAAUCUUAACUUUCACCAGAGAAACUUUAUUGUAUCGCCUCAUCGAGUAUUCUAAGCACCGCUGAUCCAAUAUGAAGGAAUUCUGGGUGUGCUUAUCAGUUCUAAAUUGUACAACAGCCGCAGAUACAAGAUCAUGAGUAAUACGACUUGAGAAGUAGGAAUAUCGGCCAAACUACCUCACCUUGAUGAAGAAGAAACUGAAUAAGGAACGCUCAUUUGGCGAUAGGGGAGCGUACCUUGAAACAUGAAGUGUAUAUUCGAACGGCUGAUUUUGCAACAUGUGCUGAGAUCACACAGGAUUUAGUGCAAAUUUAUUAAUGAUGGUUUGAAGAUAAUGUAACAACGGUAGACAUAUUAAAAAUUACAAUGCUAUACUUUUCAUCGAGAAGAACUCGAUAUUUUAAAGGAGAAGUUAUUUUUCGCGUUUUCUGUUGGACUCAACUAUAAUGCGGACACCAACAGUGCUGGUCUACCAACAUUUCAGAAUGCAGGCUGUUAAUUUUCACAUUGUGAUAUUAUCACAGCUGCUUCAACAAUGCCAACCGUACUUGUACUUAAAACGCAAAAAUGAACCCCCGAAAAAAGCAAAAAUGUACGGUCCUAGUAGAGUUUAGACGAUUGUACCUUUUUAUAUUUGCUCAUUAUGAGCUAUGAGGCAACCAUAAUCCUGUAGUGACUAACUUUAUAAGGCAGAAUUUGGAUUUAGUACCUAAAAUAAAAAUAAAAUAAUUGCUGUUAUAGCAUUUUAUAAAUAUUGCGUUUUAAUUGAUAUUUAUCUCAAAUCCUAUUUAUUUUGUAAAUAAUUUCUAACAAUAAAUUUAAAAGCAAGCGUGAGGUACGGUUUUAAAUCCUGGACCUGUAAUUUCAAACCUGCAUGUAAAAAAAAUUAUCACGUAAAAAUCAAUGACACUGAAAAUUAUUUCGACCUGUAAUAUUAUAGUAAAUGUCCUGCUCCUUUUUGUUACAGGAUAUUUGCCGUAAUUUUACGGCAAAUAAUUUUUGCUGUGUAGUGAACCUCAGACAAGAUACACAGUAAAUGAAAAUUACCGAGUUCGGUAAUUUUUUUACCGAAAUCCUAACAUGUGGAGUUCGUUAAACCGUUCGGUAAUUUUUCUCAUGGCAGAGAAGUGACAGCUGUCAAAUAUUACAGACCUUUUUCGGUAAAACAUUACCGAA